GAAAUGCGAUACGUAAUGUGAAUUGCAGAUUCGUGACUCAUCGAAAUUUUGAACGCACAUUGCGCCCGCCAGCACUCUGGCGGGCAUGCCUGUUCGAGCGUCAUUUCAACCCUCAGAACCCCUUGCGGGAUCUGGCGUUGGGGAUUGGCAUCCAGCCAGCCCCGAAAUCUAGUGGCGGUCCCUCCGCGACCUCCCCUGUGCAGUAGCGAUACCUCGCAGCGGGACAGCGGUCUGACCACGCCGUAAAACCCCCAACUUCUCAAGGUUGACCUCGAAUCAGGUAGGAAUACCCGCUGAACUUAAGC
This 305-nucleotide unclassified non-coding RNA is filed under the name plant metagenome. RNAcentral's name for it is "partial contains 5.8S ribosomal RNA, internal transcribed spacer 2, and large subunit ribosomal RNA". The stretch from base 1 to 103 matches the Rfam family "5.8S ribosomal RNA", at positions 50 to 154 of the family's 154-position model. The record is from RNAcentral.